RNAcentral lists this ribosomal RNA (745 nucleotides) under uncultured bacterium. RNAcentral describes it as "bacterial SSU rRNA". It matches the Rfam family "Bacterial small subunit ribosomal RNA", at positions 93 to 819 of the family's 1533-position model. The record is from RNAcentral.
GCAUGGCAGACGGGUGAGUAACGCGUGGGGAAUCUACCUCUUUGUGGGGAAUAACGCUCCGAAAGGAGUGGUAAUACCGCAUGAGAUCCAUGGCUGGGAUGCUGUGGAUGAAACCUGGGGACCGCAAGGCCUGGGGCAAGGAGAGGAUCCUGCGUCUGAUUAGCUAGUUGGUGAGGUAAUGGCCCACCAAGGCGACGAUCAGUAGCCGGCCUGAGAGGGUGAUCGGCCACACUGGAACUGAGACACGGUCCAGACUCCUACGGGAGGCAGCAGUGGGGAAUUUUGCGCAAUGGGCGAAAGCCUGACGCAGCAACGCCGCGUGGGUGAUGAAGGUCUUCGGAUCGUAAAACCCUGUCGUCGGGGACGAAGGUGGAGGGGUUAAUAGCCUCUUUGCUUGACGGUACCCGGAGAGGAAGCCCCGGCUAACUCUGUGCCAGCAGCCGCGGUAAUACAGAGGGGGCAAGCGUUAUUCGGAAUUAUUGGGCGUAAAGGGCGCGUAGGCGGCUUUUUAAGUGAGAUGUGUAAUCCCUGAGCUCAACUUGGGAACUGCAUCUCAUACUGGGAGGCUAGAGUACUGGAGAGGGUGGUAGAAUUCCACGUGUAGCGGUGAAAUGCGUAGAGAUGUGGAGGAAUACCAGUGGCGAAGGCGGCCACCUGGACAGUAACUGACGCUGAGGCGCGAAAGUGUGGGUAGCAAACAGGAUUAGAUACCCUGGUAGUCCACACUGUAAACGAUGAACACUUG